RNAcentral lists this ribosomal RNA (447 nucleotides) under uncultured bacterium. RNAcentral's name for it is "partial 16S ribosomal RNA". It matches the Rfam family "Bacterial small subunit ribosomal RNA", at positions 29 to 523 of the family's 1533-position model. The record is from RNAcentral.
AACGAACGCUGGCGGCAGGCUUAACACAUGCAAGUCGAGCGCCCCGCAAGGGGAGCGGCAGACGGGUGAGUAACGCGUGGGAAUCUACCGAGCCCUACGGAAUAGCUCCGGGAAACUGGAAUUAAUACCGUAUACGCCCUACGGGGGAAAGAUUUAUCGGGGUUUGAUGAGCCCGCGUUGGAUUAGCUAGUUGGUGGGGUAAAGGCCUACCAAGGCGACGAUCCAUAGCUGGUCUGAGAGGAUGAUCAGCCACAUUGGGACUGAGACACGGCCCAAACUCCUACGGGAGGCAGCAGUGGGGAAUAUUGGACAAUGGGCGCAAGCCUGAUCCAGCCAUGCUGCGUGAGUGAUGAAGGUCUUAGGAUUGUAAAGCUCUUUCACCGGUGAAGAUAAUGACGGUAACCGGAGAAGAAGCCCCGGCUAACUUCGUGCCAGCCGCCGCCGUAA